RNAcentral lists this ribosomal RNA (87 nucleotides) under Dolosicoccus paucivorans. Lineage: Bacteria; Bacillati; Bacillota; Bacilli; Lactobacillales; Aerococcaceae. The record is from RNAcentral.
UGUGGUGAUUAAAGCAAGAAGGACCCACCUGUUCCCAUGCCGAACACAGUCGUUAAGCUUCUUAGCGCCGAUGGUAAUGAAGACGUU